AUGGAUCAAGCAAAGAAAGGGUUCUUGCCUGUCUUACAAGGUGUGAAGUUGAGUCAGACUCAAUGCCCGACCACUGCAGAAGAUAGAGAGAAAAUGAAAGAUGUUCCCUAUGCAUCAGCCAUAGGCUCUAUCAUGUAUGCAAUGCUGUGUACCAGACCUGAUGUGUGCCUUGCUAUAAGUUUAGCAGGGAGGUACCAAAGUAAUCCAGGAGUGGAUCACUGGACAGCGGUCAAGAACAUCCUGAAAUACCUGAAAAGGACUAAGGAUAUGUUUCUCGUAUAUGGAGGUGACAAAGAGCUCAUCGUAAGAGGUUACGUUGAUGCAAGCUUUGACACUGAUCCGGACGAUUCUAAAUCGCAAACCGGAUACGUGUUUACAUUAAACGGUGGAGCUGUCAGUUGGUGCAGUUCUAAACAAAGCGUCGUAGCGGGAUCUACAUGUGAAGCGGAAUACAUAGCUGCUUCGGAAGCAGCAAACGAAGGAGUCUGGAUGAAGGAGUUCUUAUCCGAUCUAGGUGUCAUACCUAGUGCAUCGGGUCCAAUGAAAAUCUUUUGUGACAAUACUGGUGCAAUUGCCUUGGCAAAGGAAUCCAGAUUUCACAAGAGGACCAAGCACAUCAAGAGACGCUUCAAUUCCAUCCGGGAUCUAGUCCAGGUGGGAGACAUAGAGAUUUGCAAGAUACAUACGGAUCUGAAUGUUGCAGACCCGUUGACUAAGCCUCUUCCACGAGCAAAACAUGAUCAGCACCAAGGCUCCAUGGGUGUUAGAAUCAUUACUGUGUAA
Molecule: ribosomal RNA, 783 nt
Filed under: Triticum aestivum (bread wheat)
Lineage: Eukaryota; Viridiplantae; Streptophyta; Magnoliopsida; Poales; Poaceae
Description: partial small subunit ribosomal RNA
Source: RNAcentral